UGGGCUCUGAAUCCGCCCCGACCUCAACCCAGCUCUCUUUCUGUCUUGUCAGUGGGAGAGGACUGAGUCAGGAGAAUAUCAAGCUGUUUUAUUUCAGCAAAUGCUCAUAACAGCUGUAUUGCUGUGCGAAAAGCGCUGUGCUUUAAUCCUGUUACCUUAAAUUUAGGUCGAACUCUACCUUGUCACACUGCUCAGCCUUCUGAGCCUUUCUCCAUCUCAGACAGAGACACGAAGGCUUCUUAGAACAACUGCUUCUUAUUGUUAUGAAGGUUAAAUGAGUUACUUUGGGAAGGCAGAUUGUUAACCACAGUGCUCUAUAAAAGGUGUGAUCAGGUAUUAACUUGCUGGCUUCCCCUCUGUUAGAGUGGGGAGCACCCUUUACAUGUUAAUUCAUCUUGAAAGGGAGGUGUAGACUUCAGGUAGGUCAGGUGCAUAUAAACUUCUUGUGGUGCAACCUCAGACCAACUCUUCCUCCUCGUAAGAACUGCUGCACUCCAACUGCAGGAGGUGUAUGUCUACACCUUGCCUCUUGCAUUAAGUUGUAAAUAUUAGUGAAGGUACCAAACCUCAUUCAUUAAACUUAGCACAGUGCCUGGUACAUGGCAGGCACUCAAUGAACACCCGUAAUCUUGUCUUAUCUCCUUAUACCUGCAGUUAAUGUCAUAUACAAUAGAUAUUUGAUUAAAGAAUACAUACACAUAAAGCUUAGCUGGGUGCUGUGGCUCAUGCCUGUAAUCCCAGCACUUUUGGAGGCCUAAGCAGGUGGAUUAUUUGAGCUCAGAAGUUCGAGACCAGCCUGGCUAACAUGUGAAACCCCGUCUCUAUUAAAAAUACAAAAAUUAGCUGGGUGUGGUGGCGCACACCUGUAAUCCUAGCUACUCAAGAGGUGGAGGCAGGAGAAUUGCUGGAAUCUUAAGAGGUGGAAGUUGCAGUGAGCAGAGAUUGUACCACUGCACUCCAGCCUGGGCGACAGAGUGAGAGAUACCGUGUCUCAAAAACAAAAAAUAAAACGUAGAAUAAGUUAGGAAAUUAUUUGUUAAAUAUCUGGAAAAGCUCUUUUACCAGAUAUCCAAAUGGCUUCUUUGCCUACUUCAGAUCUUUGCUCAAAUGUUGCCUUCUUAAGGAGGCCUUCCCUGCACAUCCUACUGAAAAUAUGCAGAUUCCUCCAGCAUCUCCGAGGAAUCCAAAAGCCUGGCAUACUGGCAAAAGCAUACACAGACCAUCUACAACAUGUUUGGACUUUCUGACUUGUCUAUAUUUUCACCAGGUAAAGAAAGCUUUUUAUGGUUCGCUGGGGACAAUCAACCCCUUCACAAUCUAGAACCUGAAGAUUGGAUAUUCUCAGAACAUCAGAGAAAGACUGUCCUUGCCAUUCACACUGCAACAAAACUUUGGAAACUUGAACCUUGGGUUCAUAAACUCACAACUGAGAAAGGUCCCUCCACACCCUUGGAACUGUACACCCAUUAGAACCCUCAAGGUAAAACUAAACAGGAAAGUUUCUCCAGAAAAGAAGAUGACAUCCUUGAUGUAAACAGGUUUUCCCAAGAUCACAGAUCAAGACUUCUACUAUCAUGAGAUUCUUUUUUUAUUUUUAUGUUUUGAGACAGAGUUUCACUC
Homo sapiens (human) is the source of this 1620-nucleotide long non-coding RNA. RefSeq lists it as uncharacterized. The transcript is spliced from 3 exons. NCBI's taxonomy places the organism in Eukaryota, Metazoa, Chordata, Mammalia, Primates, Hominidae. The record is from RefSeq and is a predicted model, not a curated record.